Astatotilapia calliptera (eastern happy) is the source of this 1724-nucleotide long non-coding RNA. Lineage: Eukaryota; Metazoa; Chordata; Actinopteri; Cichliformes; Cichlidae. The record is from Ensembl.
UGCAGAGAGACCACACAGUUUUAGGGUGAACAUGCAAAAGAACAAGAACAUGACACUAAUCACGCUUGUGUUUGCUCUGCUCUUUGUGUCCAGCUCCACUCAUGAAAAGAAAAGCAGAACUAAUAUUACUGUUAUACAGGGCCAAGUCUACCUGAGGCACAACACGCUGUCAGAGGAUGCCCCCAUCACCAUCAUAUUGAAGGUUCUCAUCCACAUCACAUCUUAUGUCAUCUAGGGCGAUACACCUAGGAAAGAAUCUCCUGGCAUGCCUGAUCCAUCCCUGGCAAUCUUCUGCUGAUAUUUCCAGGCAUCCAGCAUUCAUUGCAUCCAGGAGGGACAUUUGAUCAUGUGGAUGAUGGUGGUAAAGCUUCCACCGCCAUGAGGAAAAGAAUUCCUCUAUGGGGUUGAGGAAUGGAGAGUAAGGUGGGAGGAAAAGAGACUCCAUUCUGGGAUGGGCUGCAAACCACUUGGUGACUGCACGGGAGUGAUGAAAUGCCACGUUGUCCCAUACAAUUAUAAAUGUUGGCUGAUUCCUUCUCUCUGCAUCCCUUUCCUCACCUAGCACAACCCGUCCAUAGAGAUCAUGCAGGAACGCAAGGAGCCGUUCAGUGUUGUAUGGCCCAAUUAGUGGUCUGUGUAACAGCAGUCCAUCGGUGGAUAUUGCUGCGCACAUUGUGAUGUUGGCACCCCUCUGGCCUGGGACAGUCACUGUGGCUCUCUUCCCAAUCACAUUCCUCCCUCGUCGCCGUGCUUUGGCCAAGUUGAAACCUGCCUCAUCCACAAAGAUGAAAAUGUGGUGCGUUUGCCUGCCUUCAAUCUCCAUGACUCUCUAACAUAAAUCCACAAGGCAACAUAAGCUGUUACAGUAGUAAAUUUGUAAAAAUUGUCUUUGUGUGUGUUUGGUUUUGUUCAAAAACAGAUCUGUAUUUUAUUGUGAUCUUACCUGGACAUACUGGUUCCUGAGUUGCUUGACAUGUUCAGAGUUCCUCUCAAAAGGCACAGUGUACAACUGUUUCAUCCUGACCUGAUGUUUUUUCUGGACUUUAGAAAUUGUUGUUAUGCUUACACUGUGAAUAUUUGCGAAAGUAACGUUGUCUGCCAAGACUCUGUCUAAUUUCAGUGAGUUUUAUCCCAUUGUUUCUGAUGACCAUAUCAACAAUGGCAGUUUCCUGCACAUCAGUGAACAUCCGUCCUCUCCCUCCUAUGUGAGGUAACUGUUGAGUCCUAAGCAGAAAUGCAACAAAAAUUACACAAAAGCUUAUUUACUUCUGAAAUGUGCAAAUGCCCCUGCAGAAUACAAGUUACCUGUUGGUUUGCCGGAAAACUCUAACAAUAGAUGCCACUGUAGAGCGUUGCAGAUUUGGCUGCACUCUCUGACCAGCCUCUCUCAUUGAGUGACCAUGAUUUACUACAUGAUCAAUUACAGUAGCUCUGAUCUCAUCUGAGACUACAGCUCUUGAUCUUCCUCUUAUUCUUCUUCCACCACGCAUACCUCGCCCCCUCCCAGCCACUCUUCUUCCUCUUUCAGCCACUUCUCCAUUUCUGGCUGGGUCCAUGUUUACAUCACAAAACAAACCUAUUCAGCAGUUGUCUCCUUUUGUAAUGAAAUUGAAGGCGUAACACCUGUGUAGAUGUUCAUCUACAAUGAGAAUCAGCUGUUGCUGGUUAAACUGCACUUUUAGAUUUAAAAUAUGUUUCAAUAAAAUAUUGCUGUUGAAUUUUGC